Molecule: long non-coding RNA, 1289 nt
Filed under: Homo sapiens (human)
Lineage: Eukaryota; Metazoa; Chordata; Mammalia; Primates; Hominidae
Description: non-protein coding lnc-ETS1-5:1
Source: RNAcentral
CUCACAAUAGUGGUGACGGGUGCCUGAGACGUUUGAUUCAUCUUGUGAGAUAAAAUACAGAACUGUAGCAGUCCCUCUUGGUGCUGUUAGGAGCAAGGCGGAAUGAGACCAUUUUUUGUUUUCAACAGAGUAUGGUAAUGUACUUAGCUGUAAGGCUCUUAUUUUCAAACAAUUUGCAUCAUAUUCAUCUGUGUUAGAAAAAUGGAAAUAAAAAAAUUUGAGUCAGCUAAAACUGAUUGUCUCCUUUCAUUGGCUUAUGGGAUUCCACUCCACACAAACAACUACAAUGCCAGCUGGUAUUUCAGCUGGAAACAUCUGCAGGACCAUAAAUCCUUUCUUGCAUAAUUUUUUUUCCUGUUAAAUUAAGUCCCCCCUUUCUGUUAGUAAUUUUACUCAUUGAAAAAAAAUGUGCUCUGGAGAGUGACAGUCAUGAACAUAGAUGGAACAGAAUAUUAAAUUACAGAAUAAAAUAUUGAAAUAAGACAAUUAUUGGAUAAUUAGGGCAAAAACUCAAUGUAUUUAUAACUUUCAGGUAAUCAGAGCUAAAAAAGCAUAAUACAAUCAAAUCAGUUUUUAACAUAUAGAUAGUACCUCUUAUUUUUGUUAUAGUUUCCAAUAAAAUCUCCCAGUAGCACAAAUUAUUGAUAGUAAAAUCAUUGAUUAGUGACAGUAGAUAAAUAACUCGUAAUUUUCAUCUGACAGCUAUUUGAUACAACCAUGCAGGAAUAUCAUUUUAUCAUAAGAAUAUCAAAUUAUUUGACAUAUUAAUAGUAAUAUAACAUAGUCAUAUAAUAAUAUAAUAGGAUUAAUUUAUCACAAUACACUUAUGUCUUAUAAUACAUAAUGCCAUUAAGCCUGUAAUUCAUUAAUACUGUGAAAUGCUUCCUGGAACCACUAGCAUUGAUUAGUAAACACAAACACCAUGGGGCUGCCAAUAUCUAACUGAAGAUCUAAUAGGGAAGGUAAGAAUGGUACCAUUUCUAUUAGCACUAUUACACCCUCUACCAGUCCCAUUUGGUAAAUGCUGUCCAGAAAACUCAAAUCCUGGGGAAAGUAGGCAUUAUUACAUUUAAUCUCACUUCUUAAAAUCACUGGGCAAAGUAAUUUGGAAUUAGUUAUACUCUGGAGUGCAGAUCUCUUUAUUUGGUUCUUAUGUUUUUGAAGUCCAAUAUUCAGAUAGAUUCCUUUUUCCACCCUCUCCCUAUAAAGAAUUCAAAUCCUAAAGAAAUGUGGAACACAUUUCUUCCCAGCCUAAUGAAAAACAGAAUCUUUUACAAAUUGUGAAUCCA